Molecule: ribosomal RNA, 427 nt
Filed under: uncultured bacterium
Lineage: Bacteria
Description: bacterial SSU rRNA
Rfam family: Bacterial small subunit ribosomal RNA
Source: RNAcentral
UGGGGAAUUUUGGACAAUGGGCGAAAGCCUGAUCCAGCAAUGCCGCGUGUGUGAAGAAGGCCUUCGGGUUGUAAAGCACUUUUGUCCGGAAAGAAAUCCUCUGGGUUAAUACCUCGGGGGGAUGACGGUACCGGAAGAAUAAGCACCGGCUAACUACGUGCCAGCAGCCGCGGUAAUACGUAGGGUGCAAGCGUUAAUCGGAAUUACUGGGCGUAAAGCGUGCGCAGGCGGUUUUGUAAGACGGAUGUGGAAUCCCCGGGCUUAACCUGGGAACUGCAUUCGUGACUGCAAGGCUAGAGUAUGGCAGAGGGGGGUAGAAUUCCACGUGUAGCAGUGAAAUGCGUAGAGAUGUGGAGGAAUACCGAUGGCGAAGGCAGCCCCCUGGGCCAAUACUGACGCUCAUGCACGAAAGCGUGGGGAGCAAACA